UGGGAAUUUUGGACAAUUGGGCGAAAGCCUGAUCCAGCAAUGCCGCGUGUGUGAAGAAGGCCUUCGGGUUGUAAAGCACUUUUGUCCGGAAAGAAAUCCUUGGCUCUAAUACAGUCGGGGGAUGACGGUACCGGAAGAAUAAGCACCGGCUAACUACGUGCCAGCAGCCGCGGUAAUACGUAGGGUGCAAGCGUUAAUCGGAAUUACUGGGCGUAAAGCGUGCGCAGGCGGUUUGCUAAGACCGAUGUGAAAUCCCCGGGCUCAACCUGGGAACUGCAUUGGUGACUGGCAGGCUAGAGUAUGGCAGAGGGGGGUAGAAUUCCACGUGUAGCAGUGAAAUGCGUAGAGAUGUGGAGGAAUACCGAUGGCGAAGGCAGCCCCCUGGGCAAGUACUGACGCUCAUGCACGAAAGCGUGGGGAGCAAACNGGAUUAAUNCCCCUGGUAGUCCACGCCCUAAAANGAUGUCAACUAGUUGUUUGGGGAUUCAUUUCCUUAGUAACGUAGCUAACGCGUGAAGUUGACCGCCUGGGGAGUACGGUCGCAAGA
RNAcentral lists this ribosomal RNA (547 nucleotides) under uncultured bacterium. RNAcentral's name for it is "partial 16S ribosomal RNA". It matches the Rfam family "Bacterial small subunit ribosomal RNA", at positions 356 to 893 of the family's 1533-position model. The record is from RNAcentral.